RNAcentral lists this ribosomal RNA (230 nucleotides) under uncultured bacterium. RNAcentral describes it as "partial 16S ribosomal RNA". It matches the Rfam family "Bacterial small subunit ribosomal RNA", at positions 562 to 791 of the family's 1533-position model. The record is from RNAcentral.
AAAGCGUGCGCAGGCGGUUUUGUAAGUCAGAUGUGAAAUCCCCGAGCUCAACUUGGGAACUGCGUUUGAAACUACAAGACUAGAAUAUGUCAGAGGGGGGUAGAAUUCCACGUGUAGCAGUGAAAUGCGUAGAGAUGUGGAGGAAUACCAAUGGCGAAGGCAGCCCCCUGGGAUAAUAUUGACGCUCAUGCACGAAAGCGUGGGGAGCAAACAGGAUUAGAUACCCGUGU